UCCAGGCAAGUCCUGGUCAAAGUUGGAAAAAUCCUUUGUCUGAAGAUUUGCAGGCCAGGGGCCGGGAGAGAGACAAGUACCAGCUUAAUGGCCGGGAAGUGGUCUUUUGUGUGGGCUCAUCUCGAGGGAGAUAGCCAUGUCGGGGGUGCUGCGCAUGGCUCCUAGCAAAGUGCCCAGGAAUGCCACGUAUGCAGAAGAAGAAGGAUAAAAAAGGGACCUACAACCAAGAGAGGGAGAAGUCUUAAACCAAAUGGCAUUUGUGACCAAGCAGAGAAUUUUUGGAGACACCUCAUCCUCAAGUCAGUGCAUGCCCAAAAGCAAGUUCAUUUCUAACAGCGAAUUAACAGCAGAGACAUGAUCCUCCACCUUGAUCACCGGGAUUCUUGGCUCAGGGAGAAUUGUUUUCUGGAGAAAUCCUGGAGUUCAAAAAAGGCCUGAAGAAUCAUGUUGCCUACUUUAAGACAGAGAUUGGGUGGGAGGAAGGAAACCAGAUGAAUUGUGUUGCCUAAACAAUUUGUUAUGAAUUAUCCAGUCAACUGUAAGGAAAACAUAUGGACUAAAACUUCAAGAAAUUCCUCCAGCGGUUUAAAAUCCGAGCGAUGCUGAUAUUGAUCGGGUGUAUUUUAUGCAGCUUGGCUAAAUGAUGCUGCAGUGGCAGGAAAGGGCACCUGAGAGGACUGGGAUGGCAAAAAAUCCAGUGUACAAACCAGAAACUGUUUGAACUGGAGCUUAUGAUUGGGAGUGUGCAAAGUUAUUGAUAUUUUUUAAAGUGAAGGUCUUGUUUGGGAGAUAGUUAAGAACACAACUGACGCACAUUUCUAGCUCUGUUAUGCCCAUACCUAAUUGCUGCUAUGCACUAUUCCUGCGAAAGUUUAAUUUUUGCUGUUGAAAUUGCCUUUCUCAGCUUUUUCUUCAAUGGUUGAAGGAGAACACUGAACAAUGAGUUGACAAAGACUGAAAAAAGAUGUAUUUGCAUGGAAAUUACAGACCUUGAUGUUGAGGGCUCUCAAAUUCUAUAAACAAAAUAUACACUUAUGAUAGUAAUGGAAAAACUAUCCCCAAAAGGAAAACGUGAGAGUUUCAGAAUUUCGGCAAAAACCAAAAAGAGCCAUUUUCAUUCCAGCAGAAGCCUUCAAAAUGCUGUGUUUUAUUCAGACUCUGGGAAGAACAGCUGAGCCCUCUGAAUGCCCUCUGCCUCCCGAGGAGCCGAGGCUCCUCCUGCCGUGCCCCCGAUGGGCUGGGACGGGGCUGUGCCCUCCCCACGAAUGCCACCACCAAUUAAACCACGGUGAUGCAAAUGCAGAGCACGGCGCAGGGAACUCUGCUGCCUGCAUAAUGGCCGCCAUCGCCACCUGCAUCCCGUCACUCUCCUCCAGAGCACUGAAAUUACCCCUGGGACCAGUUUCUUGGUGGGACACCCCCCGGCACCACCGCCUCCAGCAAGCUCAUUGAGUUCUUAAAAACAGCAGAGACUUGCCUGUUUGCAGAAGCGAGGAUUCGGCAGGCGGCCUUCACUGGAGAGGGAGCCCGUGGGUUCUUACACCAGGAAGAAUCAUAAAAUACACUCAGUGUGGAGAGUGCGCAAUUUGACAAAGACAAUUUGAUUUUUCCAUGGCUUUUAAAAUAUUCAUACCGCUUUGAUGGACUAUAGUUUUAUAAAUAUGGAUUGCCACUAACUGGAGCAGGCAGUCUGCCCACAGAUAGCGUUGAGUGAGGCUUGUUUGAAAUGGAGGCCCCCAAUAAACAAAAUCAUUAUCUCUGCCUAAAAACCCUAAUCCGUAAUGUCUGGCUCAUUUGCAGCUCAGAGGUCAGUAAUUCACUUCAAUUGCUUAUGUCUUUGUGUCAUUGGGAAGGAAAGGGAUUUCGUGGUGUUACUCCUCGGACCCAGAAAGUGCCUCUGGCACUGGGAGGUGGGCAUGGGGCAGCGCGUGGGCAGGGGACAGCGCAGCAGGGCAGGGACGGAGCAGGUACAGCCAAGAGCCAGGAGCAGCCCCGGGGGAGCUGGGAGGGCCAGCCCCUGUUCUGGGUGGGAAACGCAGCCAGGGCGGAGAGGGGCAGGCAGCAGAACUUCACCGCUGCACCCGUCAGAGCUACGCUGGGUCUUUCAGAUAAGGAAAAGCAAAGAUGCUGGUAGUAAAACAAAAAAAAAAAAAAUAGAGUUGAAAUCCAGGGAAAACAGUGACAAGAGUCAAUAUUGCUUUUGUUGGCUUCAGAUCAACACCAAAGUCUGAGAACAAGGUAAUGAGCAUGUUGCACACAACUUCAGGCUUGUUGGAGCAACAAACCAAGAAUUUGCAUGUUCUUGGCAGAGAGCUUUUUCUGCACCGUGCGUGCGGCCACAGGCACGCGGGAAAGCACUCGUGACUGCGGUGCGCUGCCUGAGAGCUGCAACUGGCACAGAACGGCUCUGAGCCGCCAGCAGUAAUUCAACUCGUGAAGUAGCUCCGGUUUCCAGCCCAAAAGUUUAUUCAAGUUAAGAAAACACAUCCUCAGAUUAAAAAGAGUAUCGCACCACUGUCAAUUUUCAGACGUUGCCAUCAGGAAAAAAAAAAUUACAUUUCAGGCUGACGAGCGACUAAUCAAGGCAAGUGAAACGGUGCUGCAAUAAAUUACUCCGCAGCGAAAUAAACCACACAAACAGACCGAUGAUAAUAAAUGUAAAUUAUUUCUCUGAAGAAAUUUUCUUGGUAUAUGAGUAAUACGAACCAUCAGGAAGGAGUCUUCCUUAACAUUAAUUACAGAAAAUGACAAGUGAGCUGAUGACUGCGAAGGCUCAUUAUCUGAGAACAUAUUCACAACUUUGCAAUUUGCGCGAGAUGUACUCGGGCUAAAUUAAUCUCCCUUCUUUGCAUGAGCCUCUUCUAAUUUUCAUGUUAUUAACAGGUUUGCAGUAUCACUCAGUGCUUGUCACUCUAAUCAGGUUUCGGCAUGUUCGCAAAAGCGAAGUGUCAUUUAUAAGGAUAAGCCCUCAUAAUGGCGCUCUCUUUCAUGUGGAGAAUUCUACAAGGUUGCUUUUAAUAAGGUCCUUUAAUCAUCUCCCUUUGCUCAACUUUUGGCCCCUCUGUUUUUUC
Molecule: long non-coding RNA, 3071 nt
Organism: Numida meleagris (helmeted guineafowl)
Lineage: Eukaryota; Metazoa; Chordata; Aves; Galliformes; Numididae
Exons: 4
Source: RefSeq, a predicted model, not a curated record